CGAGAUCAGGGGAAAUCAUCCGCGUCUUCAGUCCACGGAGUAAUCCGAUUGUUAAGUAAUUAGGGGGGAGAUGCGCCCUUUAGCUUAUAUAUAGGUUUGGGAGUAGCACCACCAUGUGUGGUUUAGCAAAUCAGAUCUCCAGGUACUUCUUAACAUAUAUGCGAAAACUCGAAAAUUCAUGGACAAACCUUGCUUUCUUACCCAUAGGAUUGGAUGGAAACGAGUCUG
RNAcentral lists this long non-coding RNA (228 nucleotides) under Hordeum vulgare. RNAcentral's name for it is "long non-coding RNA (HVUL_LNC018204)". Lineage: Eukaryota; Viridiplantae; Streptophyta; Magnoliopsida; Poales; Poaceae. The record is from RNAcentral.